UAGGGUGUAGGUUAAUUAGGUAAAACCGAUAAGUUUAUUUUUUAUAGAUGCCGAAGGCUGCUCUUU
RNAcentral lists this transfer RNA (66 nucleotides) under Ascidiella aspersa. RNAcentral describes it as "transfer RNA-Met(UAU)". The record is from RNAcentral. Lineage: Eukaryota; Metazoa; Chordata; Ascidiacea; Phlebobranchia; Ascidiidae.